UCAGUAACUAGCAUUUGUCCCUG
Molecule: microRNA, 23 nt
Filed under: Callorhinchus milii (elephant shark)
Lineage: Eukaryota; Metazoa; Chordata; Chondrichthyes; Chimaeriformes; Callorhinchidae
Description: eshark_mir-459_1
Source: RNAcentral